Molecule: long non-coding RNA, 3204 nt
Organism: Chenopodium quinoa (quinoa)
Lineage: Eukaryota; Viridiplantae; Streptophyta; Magnoliopsida; Caryophyllales; Amaranthaceae
Exons: 6
Source: RefSeq, a predicted model, not a curated record
AUCACUUUCUCUCUCUAAAAAUCAAAGUCUCUCUCUACUAUUUUCUCUCUGAAAAAAACUAAAACCCUAAUAGAUUUUUACGCUUAAAAACCAUAAUUGUGCUUCAAAGAUUUUUGAAGAUGGUGAAAGAAGAUGAUAUGUAAGUUUAAUUUCUUUAUUCAAAGUACUGUAAUGAUGGGUUUCGACGUUUUUCGUUUUUUAUUUUUUUUGUUAUAUUUAAAUUUUUUUUUCGGGAUUUUUUUUUUGAUUUUCAACACUCAUACUAAAGAUCUGUUGAAGAAACAUACAAUUGUAGUUUUUUUUUUUCCUUUAAUUCGAUUUUAUUGUUGAUUUCGUGUGGCUCAGUGUUUUUUUAUUUUUUUGGGUGUUUUUUUUUUUUUUUGGUAUAAAUCCGUGAGUAAUUUGAUAUGCAAUUGAUUUUUUUUUUCUCCUUUAAUUCGUGCUAAUUGCUGAUUUCGUGUGGCUGAAUUUGUUUUGAUUUAUACAAAAUUGGUGAUGUUCUGUAUAGAUUGUGAGUUAUUUGUUUUAUUUUGGGAUAAAAUUUGUUGUAUCGGGGACGAGUAGAUGUGAUAAUUGAGUAGAAAAGUGUAAUGGGGCAUGUUUUCAAAGUUCAUAGCCAAUAAUUUACCCAUCUUUUGGUUAAAGGGAUAUUGGGUAUUCCUUUUUACUUUGCCAACUCUAAAACUUUCGAUGAGCCUUUGAUACAGUAAUGGACCUUGAUGUAAUAUUUAUGUCCUUUCCAUGUGAUUUUGUAAUAUUUGGGCUGAAUUUCUUUUAAUUUAUAUAAAUUUGGUGAUUUUUGUAUGGAUCCGUGAAUUAUUUGUUUUUUUUUUUUUUGAUGUAGUGUGCAACACGAAGAACAAGAUGGUGAGAUAUUAAUAUCUUACCUUGAAAAGAAAAAGGGUAAAAGUAAGAGGAAAACUGAAGGAAUAAGUAGUAGAGAGGUUCAAGAUCCAAUUGUGGACCCAGAGAUGUUUGAAAGCCAUUAAUAAAGAUAUUGCCAUUACCAAAGCUGAAGACGAAAUUGAAGUUCCAAAGCAAUCUGCUGUAGUAGAGCCUGAAACUGAGGAUGAAACCAAACGAGACAAAGAAUAUGAGGCUGAUGAUGGGACUAAAAAGAAGCCUUACCGAUUUAAACAAAUAGCAAGGAAAAAGGGCAAAAAGAUGGGUGGGAAAGUUCAAGAUAAACAUGAGGAAGAGGAAGUUGAUCAAUCAGAGACCCGGUGAAGGUUAUUGAGGAAAAACCUGAACAAGGUGCUGCAAAAUCAAUAUCUCAGUCUGCAAAAUAAUCAAUUGUUCAGGCUCCAAAGGUGGUUGCAAUAGAGAAGAAGCCUAAAAUAAAGAAAGCCACGAAAGGAAUUGCACAAAGAGAUGUAGUACCUUGUGAUGAUGUUGCUAAUGAGGAAGGACCUAGAAUAAAGCUGUCAACGAGGCAAACUGUCAUGCCUUUGAUGCACUUGGUCCAGCAGUUGGCUAACCAAGUUGAUUAGCUUCAAGCUAUAAAGGAUAUGGGUUUUGGUGGAUUUUUGCACUUGGAUUUUCCCCACAAUUAUCCUGAAUUCUUGUGUUGAAUUUUGAUGCCGUAGGAAUGAAAUUUAAUUUGGAUAGAAAUAGAUCAAUUGAUGUGAAAGCUGCUGGUGUUCACAUGGUAUAUGGAAUACCAAGUAGAGGAAAGGAAAUAAUGGAUGCAAAGGAUGGCAAUGAAGAUCAUAAGGAGGUGUUAAAUAGUUAUAAGAGAUACCCUUGGGGAGUACUUCCCAAUAAUGUGAACAAACUUGUGAGCAAAUUAUGAUGACUGGAAGAGGAGUUUCUUGGUGUUGGUGGUAAACUGUUGCAUUAAGAGUAUUCAAAAUCAACAACCUUAUCUCAGAUUUUUGCACACUGCGAUCAAUGUAAAUUGUAUUUUUGAAUGACUGGUGUGGUUACACCAUGGAGAGCCUGAUUGAGUGGGUUCUUUGUUGGAAGAGGGGUGUUGCAAGAUUUUUCUGUGGACCAUUACCAUUUCUUUGGGUGUGCUACUUUGAUCGGCUUCAAAAGAUGACUUUGGAGCAAAGUAGAGAAUUCCCUCUCAUUAAGGUCUGGACUACUGAUCUUAUCAAGUAUAAAUUAGAUCUUGAGCUGAGGUUAGGCUUUGGUCUUGGUACUUUGUUGGAUAGAGUGCAACCACCAAUUAAUGUGGACAUCCCAAUUUCACAACAUCUAUUAGAUGAGAACCAACCAGAGAUGAAAUAAGACAACAACAGGAGGAAGAGCAGCAACAGGAAAGUAAUGUAAACGAACAACUUGGGCAAGAUCAAGCACAACAACAAGAAGAAUCAGGAGAGCAGCAACAAAAAGAACAUCAAAAUGGAGGGCAGCAACAAAAAGAACAACCUCAAGGAGAGCAACAACAAAAUAAACAUCAAAAUGGUGGAGAAUAACAAAAACAAGAGAAAAAAGUCCCAUCUAAGUGUGCAGGAGUAUAAUCAAAUGCUUCGAGAGGUAAUCGAAAGGAUUGCUAACACGCCUCUCGAAUAUCUUGAAAUUAGGUGAGAGGUUCCAUACAACCUCGUUGAAUGAAGAGACCACUAUGUACAAUCUUACAACCAUGUGGUUCAAGUGUGCCAGAGUAAAUUUGCCGAAUGUAAUACAACAACACACACAAAGUAAACAUGUCGAGGGAGCAUCAAUUCUUAGUCAGGACAUUGACUUCUUUGCAUCAGAUUGGUUUGGGAACAUGAUUGACGAUGUUGUGAAGAAUGUGAUGAUGGCUAGUAUUCAAGAUCCUACACCACCACAUGCUCAUGUUCAUGUUAAUGAACCUGAUAUGAAAGUAGAUGAGGUUGUUUUGGAAACAGCAGAUGUGGGGGAAGAACAGCUAGAAAGUGAAAAAAGUGAAGGGUAUGAUCAUAUUUUUUUAAAAUGCUUUUUGAUGUAUUAACAUGGUGCUUAUUUUACUAUACUAUGUAUUAGUUUAAUUGUAAAUGUGGAAGAGGUUGUUGGGUAAAAAGGAGAAAAAGAAAGGGAAAAAUGGAGGAAAAUAGGUAAAUAUUCUUUACUUAUACUCUAUGUUCUUUUUUAAUUAGCUAUAUGUUCUUUUAUCAAGGAUGUAUGUUUUUAUUAUUAUAGUUAUGUGUAAUCUUUUGUUAAUUAAUUUUGCAGAGGUUCUCCUAAGACUACAAAGAGAGUUAGGAAGGUGGGACGUGUUUCGGGGUUUUCUGAUGU